Molecule: ribosomal RNA, 403 nt
Filed under: uncultured bacterium
Lineage: Bacteria
Description: partial 16S ribosomal RNA
Rfam family: Bacterial small subunit ribosomal RNA
Source: RNAcentral
AUUGAACGCUAGCGGCAGGCCUAACACACGCAAGUCGAGCGAGCGGCGGACGGGUGAGUAAUGUAUGGGGACUGCCCGAUAGAGGGGGAUAACUACUGGAAACGGUGGCUAAUACCGCAUACUAUCGGAUAACCCAUAUGGGAUUAGCUAGUAGGUGGGGUAAAGGCUCACCUAGGCGACGAUCUCUAGCUGGUUUGAGAGGAUGACCAGCCACACUGGGACGGAGACACGGCCAAGACUCCUAAGGAGGCAGCAGUGGGGAAUAUUGCACAAUGGGCGAAAGCCUGAUUCAGCCAGGCCGCGUGUAUGAAGAAGGCCUUAGGGUUGUAAAGUACUUUUAGCGGGGAGGCGUUAUCUGCAGAAGAAGCACCGGCUAACUCCGUGCCAGCAGCCGCGGUAAUAC